AGUGAACGCUGGCGGUAGGCCUAACACAUGCAAGUCGAACGGCAGCACAGUAAGAGCUUGCUCUUACGGGUGGCGAGUGGCGGACGGGUGAGGAAUACAUCGGAAUCUACUUUUUCGUGGGGGAUAACGUAGGGACACUUACGCUAAUACCGCAUACGACCUACGGGUGAAAGCAGGGGAUCUUCGGACCUUGCGCGAUUGAAUGAGCCGAUGUCGGAUUAGCUAGUUGGCGGGGUAAAGGCCCACCAAGGCGACGAUCCGUAGCUGGUCUGAGAGGAUGAUCGGCCACACUGGAACUGAGACACGGUCCAGACUCCUACGGGAGGCAGCAGUGGGGAAUCUUGGACAAUGGGCGCAAGCCUGAUCCAGCCAUACCGCGUGGGUGAAGAAGGCCUUCGGGUUGUAAAGCCCUUUUGUUGGGAAAGAAAAGCAGCAGAUUAAUCCCCCGCUGUUCUGACGGUACCCAAAGAAUAAGCACCGGCUAACUUCGUG
RNAcentral lists this ribosomal RNA (492 nucleotides) under uncultured bacterium. RNAcentral describes it as "partial 16S ribosomal RNA". It matches the Rfam family "Bacterial small subunit ribosomal RNA", at positions 29 to 507 of the family's 1533-position model. The record is from RNAcentral.